UUAAUGGGGAGUGACAGCUGUCGAAAGAUGGUUUUCUUCGGACACUCUUCAAGGUGCUGCAUGGUUGUCGUCAGCUCGUGCCGUGAGGUGUCGGGUUAAGUCCAUAACGAGCGCAACCCUUACCGUUAGUUACCAUCAGGUUAAGCUGGGGACUCUAGCGGGACUGCCACCGUAAGGUGAGAGGAAGGUGGGGAUGACGUCAAAUCAGCACGGCCCUUAUGUCCAGGGCUACACACGUGUUACAAUGGCCGGUACAAAGGGCAGCUACUUCGCGAGAAGAUGCUAAUCUCGAAAGCCGGUCUCAGUUCGGAUCGAAGUCUGCAACCCGACUUCGUGAAGCUGGAUUCGCUAGUAAUCGCGCAUCAGCCAUGGCGCGGUGAAUACGUUCCCGGGCCUU
This 397-nucleotide ribosomal RNA is filed under the name uncultured Sphingobacteriales bacterium. Its description in RNAcentral is "bacterial SSU rRNA". It matches the Rfam family "Bacterial small subunit ribosomal RNA", at positions 981 to 1382 of the family's 1533-position model. Lineage: Bacteria; Pseudomonadati; Bacteroidota; Sphingobacteriia; Sphingobacteriales. The record is from RNAcentral.